GUAGGGCAUGGCUAAGUGGUAGAGCGCUUGCCUGGCAUGCAUGAGGUGCUAGGUUCCAUUCUCAGCACCACA
Molecule: transfer RNA, 72 nt
Filed under: Marmota monax (woodchuck)
Lineage: Eukaryota; Metazoa; Chordata; Mammalia; Rodentia; Sciuridae
Description: tRNA.Ala
Source: RNAcentral